GUCCUAGCUGUAAACGGUGGGCACUAGGUGUAGGAGGCAUCGACCCCUCCUGUGCCGUAGCUAACGCAUUAAGUGCCCCGCCUGGGGAGUACGACCGCAAGGUUGAAACUCAAAGGAAUUGACGGGGGCCCGCACAAGCGGUGGAGCAUGUGGUUUAAUUCGAUGCAACGCGAAGAACCUUACCCAGGUUUGACAUGCAUUGGACAGGUGUGGAAACACACCCUCCCUUCGGGGGUCAUGCACAGGUGCUGCAUGGCUGUCGU
This 263-nucleotide ribosomal RNA is filed under the name uncultured bacterium. RNAcentral's name for it is "partial 16S ribosomal RNA". It matches the Rfam family "Bacterial small subunit ribosomal RNA", at positions 793 to 1055 of the family's 1533-position model. The record is from RNAcentral.